Molecule: ribosomal RNA, 253 nt
Filed under: uncultured bacterium
Lineage: Bacteria
Description: partial 16S ribosomal RNA
Rfam family: Bacterial small subunit ribosomal RNA
Source: RNAcentral
UACGGGGGGGGCAAGCGUUGUUCGGAAUUACUGGGCGUAACGGGCUCGUAGGCGGCCAACUAAGUCAGACGUGAAAUCCCUCGGCUUAACCGGGGAACUGCAUCUGAUACUGGAUGGCUUGAGUUCGGGAGAGGGAUGCGGAAUUCCAGGUGUAGCGGUGAAAUGCGUAGAUAUCUGGAGGAACACCGGUGGCGAAGGCGGCAUCCUGGACCGACACUGACGCUGAGGAGCGAAAGCCAGGGGAGCAAACGGG